Molecule: non-coding RNA, 31 nt
Filed under: Homo sapiens (human)
Lineage: Eukaryota; Metazoa; Chordata; Mammalia; Primates; Hominidae
Source: RNAcentral
UGCGACGAGAUGCUGCUUCUCAGAGCUGCUA